AGUGUCCGACCAGGCUGCGGAAUUCAGUGCGGACCACGAAAGCAUUCUCAUUCCUCGAUUAUAUAGUUGUAUUUGCUAAGUUAUAAAAGAUGCAGGCACGAGUCCUCUUCCUUACCGUCCUUCUGAUCUUUGCAAUCUCCGCUAACGCAGCCAGUAUCCGAAAGUUGCUGAGCCAUCCGAAUUUUUGUGACGUCAUCCCAAACCCUCUCAAAAACGGAAAGGUCAAAGUGUGCUGCGUUCCUCGGGUCGAUUACUGUGUCUGUUUCAUAAAUUCAAGGGAGUCGGACAAAUACUGCAGAACGACGUAAAAGAUGCGGGCGAUAACACUCUGUGACAUUUCUGCCUGUACAUUCCAUUGGACUGGGUGGUGAGGGGGUAGUGGCGGGGUAGACUCUUUCACCAGUCUCUUUCAUUCAAUCAUUACAGCGGAGCCGAGAGUCGUGGUUACAUGGGCUUGUGGGGCUUUUGCAUAAUGGGAGUGUAGACUCCAGCAUUUAGUUGAGACCUAAACACAGUCCUCUAAUACGUGGAGGGACGAGCCACGUGUUUAUGUUAAACCAAUGCCUUUGUUUCCUAAUAAUGGAGUUUUUUUCAUUACAAGAAGGGCGGACUGAACUUUGGGUGGAAGAGAAUAACACUACAGGGCCCACGUCGACACAAUUUGCAUCCACUUGUACUGAGCAGUUUAAUAAUUUUUCAAAACAUAGUUUGAAGAUGUAACGGUCCUGCUGGAUUCAUGUCGUGCACGGGUAAAAACAUUCUCACGUCACACUUUUUGUCCUUGCUUUCAAGCGAAAUGAUUAGGUCUACAUUUGACAUAACUUUUGUAAAUAAUAACGCGUAAUAAAUUAUUUGUUUCAUUGA
Lineus longissimus is the source of this 864-nucleotide long non-coding RNA. RefSeq lists it as uncharacterized. The transcript has 2 exons. The record is from RefSeq and is a predicted model, not a curated record. Lineage: Eukaryota; Metazoa; Nemertea; Pilidiophora; Heteronemertea; Lineidae.